UCCGAAUUGGUGUAACGGCUAACAUUCUUGAUUCUCACUCAAGAGCUCAGGGUUCGAUUCCCUGAUUCGGAG
Molecule: non-coding RNA, 72 nt
Organism: Whalleya microplaca
Lineage: Eukaryota; Fungi; Ascomycota; Sordariomycetes; Xylariales; Xylariaceae
Source: the annotation of a GenBank genome assembly